Molecule: ribosomal RNA, 230 nt
Filed under: uncultured bacterium
Lineage: Bacteria
Description: partial 16S ribosomal RNA
Rfam family: Bacterial small subunit ribosomal RNA
Source: RNAcentral
UACAGAGGGUGCAAGCGUUGUUCGGAAUUAUUGGGCGUAAAGCGCGUGUAGGCGGCUUUGCAAGUCGGGUGUGAAAGCCCUCGGCUCAACCGAGGAAGUGCGCCCGAAACUGCAGAGCUUGAGUACCGGAGAGGAUGGCGGAAUUCCCCAAGUAGAGGUGAAAAUUCGUAGAUAUGGGGGAGGAACACCGGUGGCGAAGGCGGGCCACCUGGACGGAUACUGACGCUGAG